Molecule: long non-coding RNA, 2483 nt
Filed under: Homo sapiens (human)
Lineage: Eukaryota; Metazoa; Chordata; Mammalia; Primates; Hominidae
Description: HSALNT0183403
Source: RNAcentral
CCCGUGAAGCACAUCUGCACGCAUAGGCAUUCUGCGUCCUACACGCAGGAGUAGCUGUGUAGUCAGCCAGACUCUCUGUGGGAAAGACGUGUCUCGGGAUCUGACAGACAGUUCCCUCUCAAAGAAACCAACAACAGAAAAGGGAGGUUGCCUAAGCGUUUAAGGCCACACACUUGGUGUUGCUACAGCUUAGAAUGCAGCAGCUAUUCUCUACGGUGCACAGAGGACACCUGGACUGAAGAUCAGGUCCGCCUCUCCCCACUCUCCCCACCUACCACGUCUCCGUCAGCCCCGAUGUCACGAACACACAUCCCUUCCUCUCCAGCCCUACUCCCAUCCCCUUCUUCUGGGUUCUUACCCGAAGUUCUGUUGUAACUCAGGGGUCUCAGUUAAGUCCGUAUGCAUCCCUUUAAUCUGCUUUUAAUAUUUCUAGAGAGGGCUCUGAUGUUUCUGUGCUCGAAAAUGUGAGACGAUUCUCGAUUUCCUACCAAAUAUAGCUGCAGUUCUUCAGGCCUUCUCUGACCUGGUGCUAGUCUAGUUUACAAGGUUUUCUUCCACUCUUUCCCUUCAGGGAUCCUGCAAGGCUCAGCAAGCUACACUCCUUCUGUUCCCUCAACCUCUGAGGCUGCGUAUUGCUUCCCGGAGUCAUCUCCUUCUCCGUCACUUGUCUGUACAAAUCCUACAUCUCUUCCCAAGGAAGACCCAGCUCAAGUGGUGCCUCUGCCAUGCUACCUUCCCUCACCCCUCCAGCCAGGUCUCCCACUUCUUCAAAUUUCCAAAGUAUACUUUUUGGUGUUUCUCUCAGGGCAAUCAGUUAUUUCUAUCAGUUGUAUUUCUGUAAUUCUUCUUUACUUCUGCUUACUUCCAUAAGUUCCUUAAGGGCAGAGACUUCAUUCAUUCAAACAACCUUGGGCCUGGGGACCCCCUGGUACAAGAAACAGAUACGGUCACUGUCCUAGUGGAACUUGAUGUAAUGGGGUUUAGUCCAGCUGUUUAGUCAGUUACAUUAGUAAUAGAAGCGCAGGAUGUUAUGUGAACAUAAUACAAAGUCUCAACCUAGCAGGAAAGGCUCUGGGAGAGCUUCCUUAAGAAGGGAUACUUAAUAUGAACUUAAUGGAUGAGGAAACCAGGUGAAGGGGAGAAAAACGGCAGAUGCCAGUGUCCUAAAGAACAGUUCGGGGAAAGUCUAGCCAGGCUGAUAGCAGUUGUUCUGAGGAUUAAAGUUAGUAUUAAUUCAUAACUCCUACAGCCUAUUUCAGACCCUCAUUUAAAAACGAGUGAGACUCUGAGACAUUUGCUGAAGUGAGAGUUGAGGCUAAUCAUCAGGCAGUCUGAUGAAAAUAAUUCUAGGUAUUCUGUCCUAAAGUUCCCGGGUAAGUACCUGUAAGCACUGUCGUACAUGGAGCUUAUGACCACUUCUUGGCAACAUUUAAUCAUUCCUUUGACAGUUUUUGAGUUCUCUGUACCAGGUACUACAGAGGACACACAAAUAGAAGGCAUAUUCCCUGAUCUCAAGAAUGUAGUCAGGUGAGGGAGACACGCGAGCGUGAUGCCAGUCUUGUAAUCAACAGAUGAGGCUUCUGAAGUGGUCACAACAUACGAGGCAUGGUUCUAAGCAUUUUACAUGUAACUCACUCGAUUCUCACAACUCCUCUGAGGUAGAUUUUGCAAGGCUGUGUGGCUGAGAAGUGGUUUGGUAAAGGCAAACAAAAUCUACUGUGGGAAUCUACAGGAGUGAGUCAACCUCAAACCGAGGCAGGUAGAAGGGGAGUGUGAGGGCUGAGGGGCGGGUUCCGGGGGAGUGGGGGGCAGGAGGCUUUCGGCAGGGCAGUGGCCUGAUUAGAAAGAUGACUGCAGUAGCAAUGCCAAGGAUGGACUGGAAGGAAGCCCAGCUGAAGGGAGGGAAUGGCAGCAAGGAGGCUGGUGCUGUUAUUAGGCCAGAAACAACACAGGCUCGGAUGAAGCUAGUAGCAGCAGGGAUGAAUAAUGGAAAAUGUUAUCAACAGGGCUGUGAAGGAUAACCCUGUGGAGGUAUUAAAUAGAUGACAGCACAUGAGAAAAAAUCGACCAGUGCACAUCUUUAGAAAAUGGUCACGAGCACUUCCUUUCACACCGUAAGAAAAAGUUACAAUGGCUCUCCUUUAAGGAACUGUGUUUGGGAGAGAGCCGAGUCCACAGAGACUCCACCAAGUCAAUACCUCUUGAGACUCCAGCCCUGUUCACGGCCUGAUUUCUCAGUGGAUCUUUCUCCCUGUAAUGGGCAGGAAGGGCACCGUUUACGUGGAUCACACAUCUGUUAGUACUUUUCCUGUUUAUCUUACUGGGUUUCUCAAGAUCAAAUAGCUAAAAAGUGCUAGCAGUUUAUAAACCGUAAAACAAAAUGAAAAGGAUUGUUAGGCUAGGCACGGUGGCUCACGCCUGUAGUCCCAGCACUUUGGGAGGCCGAGGUGGGUGGAUCACGAGGUCAGGAGAUGGAGACUCUC